CGAACGGGUGCGUAACACGUGGGUAACUUGCCCAACGGUUCGGGAUAAGCCUUCGAAAGGAGGUCUAAUACCGAAUGAUGUCCGGGACCGGCAUCGGUACCGGAUGAAAGGCGGUCGUCUUCGGAUGGUCGUCGCCGAUGGAUGGGCCCGCGGUCCAUUAGCUUGUUGGUGGGGUAAAAGCCUACCAAGGCUGCGAUGGAUAGCCGACCUGAGAGGGUGAUCGGCCACACUGGGACUGAGAUACGGCCCAG
Molecule: ribosomal RNA, 251 nt
Filed under: uncultured bacterium
Lineage: Bacteria
Description: partial 16S ribosomal RNA
Rfam family: Bacterial small subunit ribosomal RNA
Source: RNAcentral